Molecule: ribosomal RNA, 429 nt
Filed under: uncultured bacterium
Lineage: Bacteria
Description: bacterial SSU rRNA
Rfam family: Bacterial small subunit ribosomal RNA
Source: RNAcentral
UGGGGAAUUCUGGACAAUGGGCGAAAGCCUGAUCCAGCCAUGCCGCGUGAGUGAAGAAGGCCUUCGGGUUGUAAAGCUCUUUCGGCCGGAACGAAAUCGCACUCGUGAAUAUCGAGUGUGGAUGACGGUACCGGAAGAAGAAGGACCGGCUAACUACGUGCCAGCAGCCGCGGUAAUACGUAGGGUCCGAGCGUUAAUCGGAAUUACUGGGCGUAAAGCGCACGCAGGCGGUGACCAUAGUCAGAAGUGAAAGCCCUGGGCUCAACCCGGGAAUUGCUCUUGAUACUGGGUCGCUAGAAUCACGGAGAGGGUAGUGGAAUUCCGAGUGUAGCGGUGAAAUGCGCAGAUAUCAGGAGGAACACCGAUGGCGAAGGCAGGUCUCUGGGCCGAUACUGACGCUGAGGAGCGAAAGCGUGGGGAGCGAACAGG